CCUCACCUCUGCCUCAGGAUGGACCUACGAUGGACCUCUAAUGCCCCUGACCUCAGUGUAAAUAAAGACUGCUCAUCUCCAGAAGCAAAACAAUUCCCAAGAUGGCAUUUUAAAAAGGAACAGAGUAGCUUAUGAAAGCAUGUGACAUUCAUCCACAUCAGGACCUCCUGCAAGCCCUCUAGCAAAGACAGACAUACCCGUCUUUGGACUUCAUUGUGCUGGGAGACAGCUCCUUCUCCAGGCCCAGGAAAACAUUUCAGUGAAAGUCAAGCACUGUUUGGCAUUUUUCUUCUGAUUAAAAGUAGAGGAAUGGCAGUGCUCGCUCCUAUCAGCAUGAAACAGAUGUGGUUCUAAGAAACCAGUGUAUGACCCAUGGGACUCAACAACAAGUGUAUAACCCAAACCUCAAAGCCAUAGUCAGUAGAAAUACUUGGCGCUUGUGAUGGAGACACCUGGAAGCUUAUCUACACAACAGGCAUGAAUCAUCUGUUGAUAGAUUAUGAAAGAAGUUAAAGUAACCAGUGCCCAAAAGUUUGUAAGUAUAAGCGUGAAAUUCAGUCAAGCCACUUAAUGUGAAGGCUAAAGAAUGAGUUAGUAAUUCUUAAGAAAAAAUAAAAAUAAACCAGGGCAAAAAGACAAACUUUGUAAGUAAUAACACCUGCAAUUUAGAGAUCCUGAGAUGUAAGUUUCGGCCAUUUAAAACCCUUUCUCCAAAGGGACUGUCUCUAUUCCUAUUAACCCACUUAGUAUAAAGUAUUUGUGAAACAUCCAUAUUGUUGCAGCUGCCAUAAAAUUGAUACACAAACACAAACCCACGCUGUUCAAAGAAUUUUAAUGGCUGGGAUUCCUGGGGGGCCUAGUCGGUUAAGCAUCUGCCUUCGGCUCAGGUCAUGAUCCCA
This is a long non-coding RNA of Mustela erminea (ermine), 899 nucleotides long. RefSeq lists it as uncharacterized. NCBI's taxonomy places the organism in Eukaryota, Metazoa, Chordata, Mammalia, Carnivora, Mustelidae. The transcript has 3 exons. The record is from RefSeq and is a predicted model, not a curated record.